RNAcentral lists this long non-coding RNA (1266 nucleotides) under Canis lupus familiaris (dog). RNAcentral describes it as "lncRNA (ENSCAFG00040004713.1)". Lineage: Eukaryota; Metazoa; Chordata; Mammalia; Carnivora; Canidae. The record is from RNAcentral.
AUGAACUUAUUGGGAGGGGGGGGGGGGCAGGAGGGAGACGAGGCAGAUAAAAAUAAAACCCUAGGACCAGAGCAGCCGAGCUGUCCCCGGGCUUGGCCGACCUUCACACCUGGACCUGGCACGGGAAGGGAGGCGGAGGGGACCCGAAGCAGCAGGAGGGGAGGGUGUCUCUGCCCCGAGCGGGUGGCGGGUGGCGGGUGGCGGGUGGCGGGUGGCGUGGACAUCUGGGGUCUGCACAAGGAGGGGCGCUCUGCCCGGAUGCAGCCCCGGCCGGCAGCGCCUCUGAUCCUGCCGCAGGCCGGGCCUCGGGGGCUCAGACUGAGGGCCUCGGAGUCCGGCCAGGCCCGGCGGGCGGCGCUGGGGCUCGUGGGGAAGCUGGCACUUUUCCACGCCCUUAGUCUGCGGUCACUGAGGUGUCCCAGGGGGGCGGUGGGCACGGGAGGCCGGAGCGGGCAGCUUUCCCGGCCGCGAGCUGCACACCGAGGCCGGAGCGCCGACCCCCGGGAUCAGCCCGCAGCCGGGCCGGUGCCCCCGGGUCACCUCCCUCCCCUCACCUCCGGGGAGGGAGCGGCCGCCGGGCUGGGCGGGGUCCGGGGGCGGGGCGGGGGCGGGGGCGGGGGCGGGGGCGGCGCGGCGACCCCUCGCGGCCCGGGCGUCCGGCUCACCUGGCGGCGACGCGAGGUGCGGCUCGCGGGGAGGGCGCGGCCGGCGGGCGGCGGGCGCGGGCGGCGGGCGCGGGCGGCGGGGGGCGGGGCCGAGCGCCGGGACGCCCCGCCCCCCGUGACGUGGCGCCGCCCCACUGGCCCCCGCCCUGCCACUCACGCCUCACCAUGGUUGCAGCACAAAGCAACAAGCCCCGGAGGCCGCUUCCUCCCUGAGGAGCGGCUCCGGCGGCCGGAGAAGGCGCAGGAGGAGGAAGAGGCGGAGGAAGCGGAGGGGGAGUCGCCGCUUCCCAGUCGCCGUGUGCGAGGCGGCCGUGCGCGGCUCUCGGCUCUCCGCCCUCGGCCCUCGGCCGCCCGCCGCCCGGAGUCCGACCGCCCCCCCCGCAGGCCGGGAGCAAAGUUGCCGGGAGCCCCCGGGCCGGGGCUCAGCGCGGGCGGUGCUCGGGCCGCUCCGCUCGGGCGCGCGGAUGGGGGCGGGCGGCCGAGCCCCCGGCGGCGGCGCGAGCGGCAGGGGCGGCCCGGGGGGAUGCAGCAGCAGUCGGGAGGCGCGGCCGAGCCCCGUAGCCGGAGACUAGGAGCGGCGGCGGGCGCCGGACCUGACUGA